ACUGAUGGCGACCGGCGCACGGGUGAGUAACACGUAUCCAACCUGCCCUUUACUCGGGGAUAGCCUUUCGAAAGAAAGAUUAAUACCCGAUAGCAUAAUGAUUCCGCAUGGUUUCAUUAUUAAAGGAUUCCGGUAAAGGAUGGGGAUGCGUUCCAUUAGGUUGUUGGUGGGGUAACGGCCCACCAAGCCUUCGAUGGAUAGGGGUUCUGAGAGGAAGGUCCCCCACAUUGGAACUGAGACACGGUCCAA
This 249-nucleotide ribosomal RNA is filed under the name uncultured bacterium. Its description in RNAcentral is "partial 16S ribosomal RNA". It matches the Rfam family "Bacterial small subunit ribosomal RNA", at positions 84 to 334 of the family's 1533-position model. The record is from RNAcentral.